AACGCGAAGAACCUUACCAAGGCUUGACAUACACCAGAACACCCUGGAAACAGGGGACUCUUUGGACACUGGUGAACAGGUGGUGCAUGGUUGUCGUCAGCUCGUGUCGUGAGAUGUUGGGUUAAGUCCCGCAACGAGCGCAACCCUCGUUCUAUGUUGCCAGCACGUAAUGGUGGGAACUCAUGGGAUACUGCCGGGGUCAACUCGGAGGAAGGUGGGGAUGACGUCAAGUCAUCAUGGCCCUUACGGCCAGGGCUACACACGUACUACAAUGGUCGGUACAAAGAGGUGCGGUACCGUGAGGUGGAGCGAAUCUCACAAAGCCGAUCUAAGUCCGGAUUGAAGGCUGAAACUCGCCUUCAUGAAGUCGGAGUCGCUAGUAAUCGUGGAUCAGCACGCCACGGUGAAUACGUUCCCGGGUCUUGUACACACCGAAUCGUCGACC
Molecule: ribosomal RNA, 445 nt
Filed under: uncultured Microbacterium sp.
Lineage: Bacteria; Bacillati; Actinomycetota; Actinomycetes; Micrococcales; Microbacteriaceae
Description: bacterial SSU rRNA
Rfam family: Bacterial small subunit ribosomal RNA
Source: RNAcentral